This is a long non-coding RNA of Cotesia glomerata, 671 nucleotides long. RefSeq lists it as uncharacterized. The transcript is spliced from 4 exons. NCBI's taxonomy places the organism in Eukaryota, Metazoa, Arthropoda, Insecta, Hymenoptera, Braconidae. The record is from RefSeq and is a predicted model, not a curated record.
UUUUGUUUAUGUGCGUAGUUAUCAAACUUAAAACACCAAUCUUCUAAUUUAUUAGUUGUUUUAUAUUUCAUUCUAGUACAUUAUAAAUAGAUAAAGGAAUCCAAGGACAGAACAAAGAAGAAAUCGCUGGUUAUCAAAACAGGCUUGUCACAUUUGCACAUAAUUAUAACAAUUGACUUUUUUAUGUCAUUACUCAAGUUGAACCAAUUUGUGGUGCAUAUUCCUUUUGAUACACUCAAAAACUGGAAAUAAAAAGGUUAACAUAUCGGCGCAGAAGCACGGGAGGAACACUUGAAAGCAUUUGGUGGUUAGAAAUCCAGAAUAACCUACAAAUUCCAUGGACAGUCCCUUUGUAUGCGACAUUAAAAACGCCAGAGUGCACAAAAUGACUGAGCUUACAGUGUACUGGACGAAUAUUAUGCUGGAGAAUAUUUUGUUCAUGAAUUUAAUCAACCUGGAAAAUAAAAAUGGAUAUUAUUUUAUGUCAGCUGGCACUCUUGAGCGGCCAUAUUGUCCUUAAGCCGACUAACAUCUUCUAAUUUUGUGACCAUAACCCCAAAUCGGUGCUUUAAGAUAUGAAUUUGCGCACAAAGGUGGCAAAAAACAGCCGACAUUAAAGGAUCAAAAGCCAAAUCUACAGCGGCGGUGCUGUAAAUCCCGUACAUUUGCAA